AUGAACGCUGGCGGCGUGCCUAAUACAUGCAAGUAGAACGCUGAAGGCGGAGCUUGCUCUUCUGGAUGAGUUGCGAACGGGUGAGUAACGCGUAGGUAACCUGCCUGGUAGCGGGGGAUAACUAUUGGAAACGAUAGCUAAUACCGCAUGACAACAGUUAUUGCAUGAUAACUGUUUAAAAGGGGCAACUGCUCCACUACCAGAUGGACCUGCGUUGUAUUAGCUAGUUGGUGAGGUAACGGCUCACCAAGGCGACGAUACAUAGCCGACCUGAGAGGGUGAUCGGCCACACUGGGACUGAGACACGGCCCAGACUCCUACGGGAGGCAGCAGUAGGGAAUCUUCGGCAAUGGACGGAAGUCUGACCGAGCAACGCCGCGUGAGUGAAGAAGGUUUUCGGAUCGUAAAGCUCUGUUGUAAGAGAAGAACGAGUGUGAGAGUGGAAAGUUCACACUGUGACGGUAUCUUACCAGAAAGGGACGGCUAACUACGUG
RNAcentral lists this ribosomal RNA (494 nucleotides) under uncultured bacterium. Its description in RNAcentral is "partial 16S ribosomal RNA". It matches the Rfam family "Bacterial small subunit ribosomal RNA", at positions 29 to 507 of the family's 1533-position model. The record is from RNAcentral.